This 424-nucleotide ribosomal RNA is filed under the name uncultured beta proteobacterium. RNAcentral's name for it is "bacterial SSU rRNA". It matches the Rfam family "Bacterial small subunit ribosomal RNA", at positions 202 to 622 of the family's 1533-position model. RNAcentral also lists the same sequence under 1 other name. The record is from RNAcentral. Lineage: Bacteria; Pseudomonadati; Pseudomonadota; Betaproteobacteria.
AAAGACCUUAUGCUUUGAGAGCGGCCGAUGUCUGAUUAGCUAGUUGGUAAGGUAAUGGCUUACCAAGGCGACGAUCAGUAGUUGGUCUGAGAGGACGACCAGCCACACUGGGACUGAGACACGGCCCAGACUCCUACGGGAGGCAGCAGUGGGGAAUUUUGGACAAUGGGCGAAAGCCUGAUCCAGCAAUGCCGCGUGAGUGAAGAAGGCCUUCGGGUUGUAAAGCUCUUUCAGUCGAGAAGAAAAGGUUAUGACUAAUAAUCGUAAUCAAUGACGGUAUCGACAGAAGAAGCACCGGCUAACUACGUGCCAGCAGCCGCGGUAAUACGUAGGGUGCGAGCGUUAAUCGGAAUUACUGGGCGUAAAGGGUGCGCAGGCGGUUUUGUAAGUCAGAUGUGAAAUCCCCGGGCUUAACCUGGGAAUU